This 216-nucleotide long non-coding RNA is filed under the name Mytilus galloprovincialis (Mediterranean mussel). Lineage: Eukaryota; Metazoa; Mollusca; Bivalvia; Mytilida; Mytilidae. The record is from RNAcentral.
AUCGACUGCAACAACGCAAGAAAUAACUGUCAAAGUCAUUAAAGGACUGAUACAACUAUUUCAAAGUUGUAACAGUUGAUUUACAACUGUCCCAACUCGAAAAACGUUGCAACAGUCAUAAAUAAACUGAUUAAACGCCUAAAGGGUUGUCACAGUCGUAAUAAAACUGAUGCAACCAUUUGAAAGUUGUAACAGUUUUUUAAUUACUGUCCCAAC